Non-coding RNA from Caenorhabditis elegans, 150 nucleotides. Lineage: Eukaryota; Metazoa; Nematoda; Chromadorea; Rhabditida; Rhabditidae. The record is from Ensembl.
AAUUCGAUUAUAUCUUGAACAAAUAAUCGAUAGAAAAUAGAAAAAGAACAAAAACGUUCGCAGUCAGCAGGAUUCGAACCUACGCGGGCAAAGCCCAAUUGAUUUCUAGUCAAUCUCCUUAACCACUCGGACAUGACUGCACAUCUGAAG